RNAcentral lists this ribosomal RNA (2796 nucleotides) under Stenotrophomonas maltophilia. RNAcentral's name for it is "bacterial LSU rRNA". It matches the Rfam family "Bacterial large subunit ribosomal RNA". Lineage: Bacteria; Pseudomonadati; Pseudomonadota; Gammaproteobacteria; Lysobacterales; Lysobacteraceae. The record is from RNAcentral.
AGCGCACACGGUGGAUGCCUUGGCGGUCAGAGGCGAUGAAGGACGUGGCAGCCUGCGAAAAGUAUCGGGGAGCUGGCAACAAGCUUUGAUCCGGUAAUGUCCGAAUGGGGAAACCCACCCGCUUGCGGGUAUCCUGCAGUGAAUACAUAGCUGCUGGAAGCGAACCUGGUGAACUGAAAUAUCUAAGUAACCAGAGGAAAAGAAAUCAACCGAGAUUCCGUAAGUAGCGACGAGCGAACGCGGACUAGCCCUUAAGCUGGAUUGGUUCUAGGAAAGCACUCUGGAAAGAGUGGCCAUAGAAGGUGAUAGCCCUGUAUCUGAAAGGGCCAUUCCAGUGAAGACGAGUAGGGCGGGGCACGUGAAACCCUGUCUGAACAUGGGGGGACCAUCCUCCAAGGCUAAAUACUACUGACCGACCGAUAGUGAACCAGUACCGUGAGGGAAAGGCGAAAAGAACCCCGGAGAGGGGAGUGAAAUAGAACCUGAAACCGUGUGCGUACAAGCAGUAGGAGCUCCGCAAGGAGUGACUGCGUACCUUUUGUAUAAUGGGUCAGCGACUUACUGUUCGUGGCAAGCUUAACCGUAUAGGGGAGGCGAAGGGAAACCGAGUCUGAUAAGGGCGCAUAGUCGCGGGCAGUAGACCCGAAACCGGGUGAUCUAGUCAUGCCCAGGGUGAAGGUGCGGUAACACGCACUGGAGGCCCGAACCCACUCCCGUUGCAAAGGUAGGGGAUGAGGUGUGAUUAGGAGUGAAAAGCUAAUCGAACCCGGAGAUAGCUGGUUCUCCUCGAAAGCUAUUUAGGUAGCGCCUCAUAUGUAUCCUCUCGGGGGUAGAGCACUGUUAUGGCUAGGGGGUCAUCGCGACUUACCAAACCAUUGCAAACUCCGAAUACCGAGACGGACUGUAUGGGAGACACACGGCGGGUGCUAACGUCCGUCGUGAAAAGGGAAACAACCCAGACCCACAGCUAAGGUCCCAAAUUCACUGCUAAGUGGAAAACCAUGUGGAAAGGCACAGACAGCCAGGAGGUUGGCUUAGAAGCAGCCACCCUUUAAAGAAAGCGUAAUAGCUCACUGGUCGAGUCGGUCUGCGGGGAAGAUUUAACGGGGCUAAGCAGUGAACCGAAGCUUGGGGUGCAUACUUUGUAUGCGCGGUAGAGGAGCGUUCCGUAAGCCGUUGAAGGUGGAUUGAGAAGUCUGCUGGAGGUAUCGGAAGUGCGAAUGCUGACAUGAGUAACGAUAAUGCGGGUGAAAAACCCGCACGCCGAAAGCCCAAGGUUUCCUUGCGCAACGUUAAUCGGCGCAGGGUGAGUCGGCCCCUAAGGCGAGGACGAAAGUCGUAGUCGAUGGGAAGCAGGUUAAUAUUCCUGCACCUCGCGUAAGUGCGAUGGAGGGACGGAGAAGGUUAGGUGUACCAGGCGUUGGUUGUCCUGGGGAAAGGCGGUAGGUUUGGAUCUUUGGCAAAUCCGGGAUCCUUUAAGACCGAGCACCGAGACGAGCCUUUAAGGCGAAGUCACUGAUACCACGCUUCCAGGAAAAGCUCCUAAGCUUCAGCUUACGCAGACCGUACCGUAAACCGACACAGGUGGGUAGGAUGAGAAUUCUCAGGCGCUUGAGAGAACUCGGGUGAAGGAACUAGGCAACAUGGCACCGUAACUUCGGGAGAAGGUGCACCCUUUUUGGUGGCUCGUGCGAGCUAUAGCUGAAGAGGGUCGCAGUAACCAGGCCGCUGCGACUGUUUAUCAAAAACACAGCACUCUGCAAACACGAAAGUGGACGUAUAGGGUGUGACGCCUGCCCGGUGCUGGAAGGUUAAUUGAUGGGGUCAGCCGCAAGGCGAAGCUCUUGAUCGAAGCCCCAGUAAACGGCGGCCGUAACUAUAACGGUCCUAAGGUAGCGAAAUUCCUUGUCGGGUAAGUUCCGACCUGCACGAAUGGCGUAACGACAGCGGCGCUGUCUCCACCCGAGACUCAGUGAAAUUGAAAUCGCUGUGAAGAUGCAGCGUUCCCGUGGCAAGACGGAAAGACCCCGUGAACCUUUACUAUAGCUUUACACUGAACGUUGAGUUCGUCUGUGUAGGAUAGGUGGGAGGCUAUGAAACUGUGGCGCUAGCUGCAGUGGAGCCAUCCUUGAAAUACCACCCUGUCGUGCUUGACGUUCUAACCUGGGCCCAUUAUCUGGGUCGGGGACCGUGUAUGGUGGGUAGUUUGACUGGGGCGGUCUCCUCCUAAAGAGUAACGGAGGAGCUCGAAGGUACGCUCAGCGCGGUCGGACAUCGCGCACUGUGUGCAAAGGCAUAAGCGUGCUUGACUGCAAGAUCGACGGAUCAAGCAGGUAGGAAACUAGGACUUAGUGAUCCGGUGGUUCUGUAUGGAAGGGCCAUCGCUCAACGGAUAAAAGGUACUCCGGGGAUAACAGGCUGAUACCGCCCAAGAGUUCAUAUCGACGGCGGUGUUUGGCACCUCGAUGUCGGCUCAUCACAUCCUGGGGCUGUAGUCGGUCCCAAGGGUAUGGCUGUUCGCCAUUUAAAGUGGUACGCGAGCUGGGUUCAGAACGUCGUGAGACAGUUCGGUCCCUAUCUGCCAUGGGCGUUGGAGAUUUGAGAGGGGCUGCUCCUAGUACGAGAGGACCGGAGUGGACGAACCUCUGGUGUUCCGGUUGUCACGCCAGUGGCAUUGCCGGGUAGCUAUGUUCGGAAGCGAUAACCGCUGAAAGCAUCUAAGCGGGAAGCGCGCCUCAAGAUGAGAUCUCCCGGGGCACAAGCCCCCUGAAGGAACCAUGUAGACUACGUGGUUGA